RNAcentral lists this ribosomal RNA (253 nucleotides) under uncultured bacterium. RNAcentral describes it as "partial 16S ribosomal RNA". It matches the Rfam family "Bacterial small subunit ribosomal RNA", at positions 524 to 776 of the family's 1533-position model. The record is from RNAcentral.
UACGGAGGGUGCGAGCGUUAAUCGGAAUCACUGGGCGUAAAGCGCACGUAGGCGGCUAGGUAAGUCAGAUGUGAAAGCCCCGGGCUCAACCUGGGAACUGCAUUUGAUACUGCUUGGCUCGAGUCUGAUAGAGGGGGGUGGAAUUCCAGGUGUAGCGGUGAAAUGCGUAGGUAUCUGGAGGAACACCAGUGGCGAAGGCGGCCCCCUGGAUCAAGACUGACGCUGAGGUGCGAAAGCGUGGGGAGCAAACAGG